RNAcentral lists this long non-coding RNA (242 nucleotides) under Notechis scutatus (mainland tiger snake). RNAcentral's name for it is "lncRNA (ENSNSUG00000001014.1)". The record is from RNAcentral. Lineage: Eukaryota; Metazoa; Chordata; Lepidosauria; Squamata; Elapidae.
CAAUGAGGCAGUCACCAAUGCAGAAGAUCAAAUCAGGAAGAGGAAUACACAAGCUAUAUGUGCAAACUUUCAGGAAGCCAUUAUGAUGUGCUACAAUGAAAAUAAACAGCAAGUGCUAAACUGCUCAGAGCUAGUCAAGGAAUAUCAGCGUUGUGUUAGGCUAGCACAAAAGGAAUUGUUGGUCCAUUUUGAUUAAAAUCCAACUGCUAACACAGGUGAAGACAGCAGAAGUUCUUCAGAGG